Molecule: ribosomal RNA, 253 nt
Filed under: uncultured bacterium
Lineage: Bacteria
Description: partial 16S ribosomal RNA
Rfam family: Bacterial small subunit ribosomal RNA
Source: RNAcentral
UACGGAGGGUGCGAGCGUUGUCCGGAAUCACUGGGCGUAAAGGGUGCGUAGGCGGCUUUGUAAGUCAGGGGUGAAAUAUGGCAGCUUAACUGUCAAGGUGCCAUUGAUACUGCGGAGCUUGAGUACAGAUGAGGUAGGCGGAAUUGACGGUGUAGCGGUGAAAUGCUUAGAUAUCGUCAAGAACACCUAUAGCGAAGGCAGCUUACUAGGCUGUAACUGACGCUGAGGCACGAAAGUGUGGGGAUCAAACAGG